RNAcentral lists this ribosomal RNA (253 nucleotides) under uncultured bacterium. Its description in RNAcentral is "partial 16S ribosomal RNA". It matches the Rfam family "Bacterial small subunit ribosomal RNA", at positions 524 to 776 of the family's 1533-position model. The record is from RNAcentral.
UACGUAGGCAGCGAGCGUUGUUCGGAAUUACUGGGCGUAAAGAGUGUGUAGGCGGUGCUCUAAGUUCGGUGUGAAAUCUCCCGGCUUAACUGGGAGGGUGCGCCGGAAACUGGAGUGCUCGAGCGUGGGAGAGGAAAGCGGAAUUCCUGGUGUAGCGGUGAAAUGCGUAGAUAUCAGGAGGAACACCGGUGGCGAAGGCGGGUCUCUGGGCCGAUACUGACGCUGAGGAGCGAAAGCGUGGGGAGCGAACAGG